CCUACGGGUGGCUGCAGUGGGGAAUAUUGCGCAAUGGGCGAAAGCCUGACGCAGCGACGCCGCGUGAGGGAUGAAGGUCUUCGGAUCGUAAACCUCUGUCAGCAGGGAAGAACGGUCACUGUGCUAAUCAGCAGUUAAUUUACGGUACCUUAGUAAGAAGCCCCGGCUAACUACGUGCCAGCAGCCGCGGUAAUACGUAGGGGGCAAGCGUUAUCCGGAUUUACUGGGUGUAAAGGGAGCGUAGACGGCAGUGCAAGUCUGGAGUGAAAGGCGGGGGCUCAACCCCCGGACUGCUCUGGAAACUGGACGGCUGGAGUGCAGGAGAGGUAAGUGGAAUUCCUAGUGUAGCGGUGAAAUGCGUAGAUAUUAGGAGGAACACCAGUGGCGAAGGCGGCUUACUGGACUGUAACUGACGUUGAGGCUCGAAAGCGUGGGGAGCAAACAGGAUUAGAUACCCCUGUAGUC
RNAcentral lists this ribosomal RNA (465 nucleotides) under uncultured bacterium. RNAcentral describes it as "partial 16S ribosomal RNA". It matches the Rfam family "Bacterial small subunit ribosomal RNA", at positions 338 to 795 of the family's 1533-position model. The record is from RNAcentral.